UUCAUGGUGAGCUGCUACUACGAGGCCUCCUCGCCUCACGACGGCCGCGUACGGACGCCCCGCGUCGGCUGGGCCGGGCUGCUCCGCGCGUGCUGUAGUAUGUGUAGAUUGACGCGGCGUGCGUGCGUGUGCGGUUCGAAAAAUUCGGGAUUGGAUGGGAUUCGGCGAUGAAAUUUCCCUGCUCGUGUUGGGAUUGGGAUUUCAAACAGGGUAGCCAGAUUACCUUUUUUCCGAACGCACACAACAUGUUUGAUUGGUUGCGCCUGAGCUCGUCUGGGAUUAGCACUCGCUAAUCCCCGCGGGUGGAUUUGGUUAAAGUUAGCUUCUUCAGCUGCGAGUAUUACUAUGCUAGUUCAUCCCUUGAUUAUUACCCAUCCUUGUUAUCUCUGAACUUGGCUGAAUUUUGUUGGAGCAUAUUACUGCCAUGUUCAGCUACCUAGUGGUCCAAUAUAAGAACAGAACCAAGGCUUGAGGACAGGGGCCAUAGGGUGGGCACAACAUCAUUGUGGAAGUCUGCAGAAUAUUGAUCUCUUUCUUUCAAACACACCACAAUUCUUUACAAUAGUUUUGAACUGGCUGGGUAGCAGUGAAAGCCAGGACGCACUAUCUGAAGUUCUGGCUGGCAUCACGUCUCCCCUUGACACUGAGUUCUUUUGCAGAAGUGCUCAUUCUGCAGCUAUGUAUGCUGUCACCUCCAUGGUACGUGCACAGCAAACUAUUCUAUUUUCCUAAAUUGAAUUGUUAAUGGAGCUGAACAAAUACUUUUAUCAUUUAAUUCUCAUGUUAAGGUAAUCCUGAAAUGAGAAAAAGCAAUGAGCUAUUUGUAUUGGUUGACGUUCAUGACCUUUUAUAAGUUGUGUUGCUAAUUAUUUACUGUUCCUUGACUGUUACUGGAGGCCAAGUUGGUAUUGUUCUAAGACUGAAGCAAGGUUCUUAUUUUUGUGGAACAAAACGGAUCAUGGUUAAAUGGCGUUGUCACCUGGUUCAAAUUGCCUAGGUUAUAUUGACAAGGCAUUUUGCUUCUAUUUCUAAAGAAGUGGAUAGAAGGUUUAAACUAUGAUACAUCAUAUCUGAGUUGGUUCGUACUUGGAGUUGGAGAGAUAUUUGCAAGUUUUUGAAUGGUCCUAUCUGUGGCAUAUUUUUUCCUGCCUACUUCACUUAUAUCAAGAUAUUUAGAAGACUCGACAGAAGAAUUUCAGCAAGAAUCAAUAGCUUGUGUGAUCCUUAUGUCGCUGAGUUCUUUUUAUAAACGUUCCAUUGAUUGAACGGUUGAAGAAGUAUCAUAUAUCUGCUAUGCUGAUGACCGCUACGUCUGCUUUGCUCGAGACGAGGACAAGUGGGUCAUAUAUGGCUUCGAGACUGUCGAGUUAAGUUACUCGUGACUCCUGGGUGUUGAUCAAGGCUCUGCAUUCUUUCUUGUAGCCAUUUUAUUCUUAACUUGCUGAUUUGUUGGUGUGAACUCCCUCCAUGCAGAGAGAAGAUAGUUGGGAGCAUUUGCUAGAAAGCUGGUGGCGUGGCACGAGGCCGACAUUGACCGGGGCCUGCUUGAGCCGAGGGCUAGGGCGAGGGACGUGAUGGCGUCACAACUCAAGGCGGCGGCUGUCAUCGGUCAAGUGUGGCUCGUCGAGGCUGCUCGUUGUAUUUCGUUGCAGCUGCAGGCCGCGAGAUCAGGCCAGGAAGGCGCCAUGCAUUGACGAGUGAGCCAAUUUUUGGAUCGGACCAUAACAACGUGUCUCAGUCUCUGACUUCUAGAAGUAGUGGUAAAGUUUUGAAUUUGCAUGGCAAGAACCACUUAUGUAGGUAGCUGACACGCUCAACAUUGUGUUUACUCUCUUACUUAUGUAAAAGAUAUGAAUUAUACACGAGUUGCCUUUACAAUGAGGAAUUGUGAUAGUAGAUA
Molecule: non-coding RNA, 1900 nt
Organism: Aegilops tauschii subsp. strangulata
Lineage: Eukaryota; Viridiplantae; Streptophyta; Magnoliopsida; Poales; Poaceae
Source: RefSeq, a predicted model, not a curated record